UCUCCGGAGAUAGCACAGUACGCUGUGUCCAGCCCAGAGGUGAAAGCCAUCCAAAGCAGAGUAACUGUGCUUUGCGUCCAAGUUGAUACCUGUGGAGAGGAAAGGAAAGAGAGAGUGAAUAACACGAGGAGGAAUAGAGCGAACCCUGUACUUACAGUAUGCUGUGUCCAGCCCAGAGGUGAGAGCCAUUCAAAGCAAACUAACUGUGCUAUUGUGCCCAAGUUGAUACCUGUGGAGAGAAAAGGAGAGAGAGUGGGUAACACGAGGAGAGAUCGAGGAAACCUGUACUUACGCCGCUGCCUGUGGAGAGAAAAGGAAAGAGAGAGUGAGUAACACAAGGAGAAACAGAGGAAACCUGUACUUACAGUACGCUGUGUCCAGCCCAGAGGUGAAAGCCAUCCAAAGCAGAGUAACUGUGCUUUGUGCCCAAGUUGAUACCUGUGGAGAGAAAAGGAGAGAGAUUGAUACCUGUGGAGAGAAAAGGAGAGAGAGUGGGUAACACGAGGAGAGAUCGAGGAAACCUGUACUUACGCCGCUGCCUGUGGAGAAAGAGAAAGCGAGUGAGCACCCAAGGAACGAACUGUGUGAACCAGUACUUACUGUGAGCUGCAAUCAGCGAAGAGGUGAGAGCAAAACCAAGCCGAAUUAACUGUGCCUUUGUGUCCCAG
This is a long non-coding RNA of Cyprinus carpio carpio, 668 nucleotides long. NCBI's taxonomy places the organism in Eukaryota, Metazoa, Chordata, Actinopteri, Cypriniformes, Cyprinidae. The record is from Ensembl.